Long non-coding RNA from Anopheles coluzzii, 138 nucleotides. RefSeq lists it as uncharacterized. NCBI's taxonomy places the organism in Eukaryota, Metazoa, Arthropoda, Insecta, Diptera, Culicidae. The record is from RefSeq and is a predicted model, not a curated record. The transcript is spliced from 2 exons.
UCGUAGUCGAUGCUGCGACACAGGUCCGCCCCCGACACGCUGGCCGUCAUGCGGCGCAUCGACGAGGAACGCUUAAACUGGACACGUGCGGUGACCAAACGACUGUUUAUUACACUGCACUUAUUACAAAACCAAGCU